UUGAACUUGAAGGUCAACAUCUUUUUCUUCUGGGCUCAAAGGAGUUUUGAGAGGGACAAAGAACCAGGACAAGAAAGGUAACAGAACCACACCAGCCUCAGUUUCUCCGAGGACCUACGCAACAGUGGAGGCAUUGUCAUCUGUGUCCAAUUCCAAGAAAUGUUCAAGAAGGAAGAGCAGACUGACCGCCUGCACGUUUCUGAGGGAGUCCAUGGGAGGGCACCAGGGCAUAGCUUGUUCUGGAACCCCGGCGAGGCGGCGCUGCUGUCAUUUGGUCCGGCCACAUUCUCAAGGUGAGUUAUCAAAGAAACAACUU
RNAcentral lists this long non-coding RNA (316 nucleotides) under Mustela putorius furo (domestic ferret). RNAcentral's name for it is "lncRNA (ENSMPUG00000029618.1)". Lineage: Eukaryota; Metazoa; Chordata; Mammalia; Carnivora; Mustelidae. The record is from RNAcentral.